GAUGAACGCUGGCGGCGUGCCUAAUACAUGCAAGUCGAGCGAACAGACGAGGAGCUUGCUCCUCUGACGUUAGCGGCGGACGGGUGAGUAACACGUGGAUAACCUACCUAUAAGACUGGGAUAACUUCGGGAAACCGGAGCUAAUACCAGAUAAUAUAUUGAACCGCAUGGUUCAAUAGUGAAAGACGGUUUUGCUGUCACUUAUAGAUGGAUCCGCGCCGCAUUAGCUAGUUGGUAAGGUAACGGCUUACCAAGGCAACGAUGCGUAGCCGACCUGAGAGGCUGAUCGGCCACACUGGAACUGAGACACGGUCCAGACUCCUACGGGAGGCAGCAGUAGGGAAUCUUCCGCAAUGGGCGAAAGCCUGACGGAGCAACGCCGCGUGAGUGAUGAAGGUCUUCGGAUCGUAAAACUCUGUUAUUAGGGAAGAACAAAUGUGUAAGUAACUAUGCACGUCUUGACGGUACCUAAUCAGAAAGCCACGGCUAACUACGUG
Molecule: ribosomal RNA, 497 nt
Filed under: uncultured bacterium
Lineage: Bacteria
Description: partial 16S ribosomal RNA
Rfam family: Bacterial small subunit ribosomal RNA
Source: RNAcentral